RNA transcript from Capsicum annuum, 1081 nucleotides. RefSeq lists it as uncharacterized. The record is from RefSeq and is a predicted model, not a curated record. Lineage: Eukaryota; Viridiplantae; Streptophyta; Magnoliopsida; Solanales; Solanaceae. The transcript is spliced from 2 exons.
UCCAUUUUUGAAUGGAUUAACAACGCACACUCAUAAAAGAGAAAAGGGAUUAAAGCAAGAAAACCAAAGCCAUAAAGAUCGGUUGACAUUGGUGAACACUAAAGAACAUAGCAAAUAAAGAAUAAAAAAUUCAAUGAGCCAACAAAGAGAAAAGCAAAAUGUUGAAAAUUGAAAAUCAAAAAUCAAAAUGCUCCCAUUUUGUUGUAAUGUUAAUGGAAACAUCUAUAUUCAGCUCCGGUUCAGUUAAAUAUGAUGUUGUUUAUUACGAUGUUUUCAAUUGGGUAUUGCUUGCUUGCUUUCUUUCUCCUUCGAUCCGUGAGUUGCAAUUUUUCCCUCUUUAUCAUUUUUGUAUUCCUUUUUUCAGAAUCUUGCCCAUUUUUAACCCUUUUCAGUUCUUGCUUUUUCCCCCUUCAUCACUAAAAGCUUUUUCUUCACUUUUUGUUGAGAAAGUUGAGAUCUUUGAAUGGGUACGGACUCUACAUCUUUAGAUGUGAUACUGAAAUUUCUGCGAAAGAAUAAAUUUACAGGGGUUGGAGGCUGCAAUUGCGUUAUUUGGGGGUGAGGUUGGAGUUUGGGGGUGGGGAGUGAUGAAGAAGAUGUGAUGGUUGGAGUGGUAGUGGAUGACAUACAGAAAAAAAAAAAAAAAAAGUCACUUUAACCAGGUUUGAAUUCGAGCACACCUACUAGUGGAUAUUCUUAAGAUCAACCUAAAUGAAUUGUGGAGUGUUACGUUGCUAGAUAUGCAAAAUACCUAAGUGAAGAAAUGGAUAUGCCUUCAGUGGAUUUUGAAGUAGAGUACCAUCGUAUGCGAUGCACGGCACUUCUUAGAAACUACGGUCUUCAGAAAGCGAAGAAAGGUUAUGUAAGUGACAAUGACGAUCCUCCAAGACCAAGGACAAAAAAUGUCUACCUACCCGAUGAAACUGAAAUAGUUAGUGUUGAGUAGUAUUUAAGAUCAUUAUGGUGACGACUUUAUAUUCCAGUGGAUUUUUUAGGAAUCUAAAAUUUGAAAUUAAUAUUAGUUGUUUGUUAUGAAACACAUUUGACAUAUGUUUUUGGAUUAUAGUUUGAAUGACGAGGA